This 468-nucleotide ribosomal RNA is filed under the name uncultured bacterium. Its description in RNAcentral is "partial 16S ribosomal RNA". It matches the Rfam family "Bacterial small subunit ribosomal RNA", at positions 28 to 507 of the family's 1533-position model. The record is from RNAcentral.
GACGAACGCUGGCUGCGUGCUUAACACAUGCAAGUCGAACGGAAGGGCCCUGCUUUUGUGGGGUGCUCGAGUGGCGAACGGGUGAGUAACACGUGAGUAACCUGCCCUUGACUUUGGGAUAACUUCAGGAAACUGGGGCUAAUACCGGAUAGGAGCUCCUGCUGCAUGGUGGGGGUUGGAAAGUUUCGGCGGUUGGGGAUGGACUCGCGGCUUAUCAGCUUGUUGGUGGGGUAGUGGCUUACCAAGGCUUUGACGGGUAGCCGGCCUGAGAGGGUGACCGGCCACAUUGGGACUGAGAUACGGCCCAGACUCCUACGGGAGGCAGCAGUGGGGAAUAUUGCACAAUGGGCGGAAGCCUGAUGCAGCAACGCCGCGUGCGGGAUGACGGCCUUCGGGUUGUAAACCGCUUUCGCCUGUGACGAAGCGUGAGUGACGGUAAUGGGUAAAGAAGCACCGGCUAACUACGUG